Small nuclear RNA from Lycium barbarum (goji berry), 131 nucleotides. The record is from RefSeq and is a predicted model, not a curated record. Lineage: Eukaryota; Viridiplantae; Streptophyta; Magnoliopsida; Solanales; Solanaceae.
GUGUGUGUUGAAAGGAGAGAUGGUUGGCAUCACCCCCGACAGGGACGGGAACAGCCUUCGGGCUUUGCCUGUUAUCAGACAAGGCAUUAGCUGCAAGUAAUAAAACCUAGUGGGUCUUUUCAUACCUGUUU